UUAUGAUGGCGACCUUCAGGUGCCCGUCGCUGUAAGGCGACGGGAGAAUCGGGAAGGCGGUGCAAAUCCGCCGCGUGCCCAACGCUGUAAGGAGGAUGACCCUCGCUCAAUGCCACUGGCGCAAGCCGGGAAGGCGCCGGGGUCAGAUGAAUCCAAGCCAGAAGACCGGCCUGAAAACUUUCACCACG
RNAcentral lists this non-coding RNA (188 nucleotides) under Burkholderiales bacterium. The record is from RNAcentral. Lineage: Bacteria; Pseudomonadati; Pseudomonadota; Betaproteobacteria; Burkholderiales.